CAUUUGCAGCUUUCAAAUAGGUGAAACUUCUUCUCUUUUACCUCCCAACUAAAGAAUUCCUCAGAUUCGUCUCCAAAUUCCUUCUCCAUUUUCGUCUCUGGUCUCUUCAACAUGCACAAAUCUGCAGCCAACCUUUUCAAGAAAACCCGCCGCUUCGCCGACUUCCAUGUCGAGUGGCUCAACGCCCUCGAGGGCACCCUCCUCCCGCUCCUCCGAGACUCCUUGUCCUCCUCCUCUUCGUCCACGUCGACCCAGUUGUCCUCCGCCGUCCACUCCCUCCACCGCCACCUCCAGUCCUACUACUCCGCCCUCAACCUCGCCGCAUCCUCCUCCUCCUGCCAGCUCCCUCAGCUGCUCUACCCUCCGUGGCGCAACUCCCUCGAGAGGCCCUUCCUCUUCCUCGGCGACCUCCACCCUUACAUCUUCACCACCCUCCUCCGCUCGCUCCUCGAAAACGACGACCACGACAGCGACGACGAAUGCGCCGGCGUCUUUCUUGAAGAAAACUGCAACCACCUUCUGGGCAGGCCGUGGCAGGUACUGACGGCGUGGAAGAACCCUAGCAAGUACACGAUAUCCCGGAUCGAGCAGAUCGAGUGCGGGGUCCGGCUGAUGGUGCCAGCCCUGUGGGACCGGGCCAAGGCCGAGCAGGCCCGCCUCGCGGACCGUGUGGCUGAUCAGUGGACGAGAGCGUCCGGCGAGAAGACCAAGGACAUGACGGCGGUGCUAGGGAAGGCCGCGGCGGCCACAACACAGGGUUUGGCGGGCGUUUUCUUGGAUGCCAACAGGCUGAGGAAGAGCGUGCUGGCGGAUAUAAUGAGCGCAACCAAUGUGUACCAGGCGGGUCUGUUUCUUGAAGCUUUGGCCCAAUUUCUUGUUGGGUUGAGAGACCCGGAAUUGCUGGAGAAGUUCCAGCAUUGCCCGGUGAAGAUGCGUUGAUGAGGACUCGACUUUCCAUAAUUUAGGGUUUAUUUAAGCUGUUGAUUUUCUUUUGGAGGAUUUGGAGUGGGACCUUUCUUUUUUUUUCCGCAUGGGGACGAAGGGAAAAGAAGGCCAGCUAUGAUGCCCCGACUGAAUGUUCGUUGCGGCGGGUGCUCCGAACCUUUUGAUGGCGGUGUCCUUGGAUUGCCGAUUAAUUUGGUGUGAGCUCGCGAUUUUCCUCCCCGAAUCAAUUCGAAUAGAGUAGUAGUGACUUCUUGUUUGCGAUCUUAGUUUUUCAUUUCUUUUCGUGGGCAAUGUUUGCCUCCCUGAAGUUUUGGAAGGGACAGAUGGAAAUGCAAGUCCCUGGAUUUUUGCUUCGCAGUGUUUGAUCAGGUCAAUUUUCGAGUACAUUUACUGGGUUUGAUUAGUCUUUUCUCCUUUUUGUGCUGAG
Rhodamnia argentea is the source of this 1372-nucleotide RNA transcript. It is a transcript of the gene named protein INAPERTURATE POLLEN1, with no coding region annotated. The transcript has 4 exons. Lineage: Eukaryota; Viridiplantae; Streptophyta; Magnoliopsida; Myrtales; Myrtaceae. The record is from RefSeq and is a predicted model, not a curated record.